RNAcentral lists this ribosomal RNA (1400 nucleotides) under uncultured bacterium. Its description in RNAcentral is "16S ribosomal RNA". It matches the Rfam family "Bacterial small subunit ribosomal RNA". The record is from RNAcentral.
AGAGUUUGAUCCUGGCUCAGGAUGAACGCUAGCUACAGGCUUAACACAUGCAAGUCGAGGGGCAGCAUGAAAGUUUGCUUGCAAACUUUUGAUGGCGACCGGCGCACGGGUGAGUAACACGUAUCCAACCUGCCUCAUACUCGGGGAUAGCCUUUCGAAAGAAAGAUUAAUACCCGAUGUCAUAGUCCUACCGCAUGAUGGGAUUAUUAAAGAAUUUCGGUAUGGGAUGGGGAUGCGUUCCAUUAGUUAGUUGGCGGGGUAACGGCCCACCAAGACAACGAUGGAUAGGGGUUCUGAGAGGAAGGUCCCCCACAUUGGAACUGAGACACGGUCCAAACUCCUACGGGAGGCAGCAGUGAGGAAUAUUGGUCAAUGGACGAGAGUCUGAACCAGCCAAGUAGCGUGAAGGAUGACUGCCCUAUGGGUUGUAAACUUCUUUUAUAUGGGAAUAAAAUGUUCCACGUGUGGGAUUUUGUAUGUACCAUAUGAAUAAGGAUCGGCUAACUCCGUGCCAGCAGCCGCGGUAAUACGGAGGAUCCGAGCGUUAUCCGGAUUUAUUGGGUUUAAAGGGAGCGUAGGUGGAUUGUUAAGUCAGUUGUGAAAGUUUGCGGCUCAACCGUAAAAUUGCAGUUGAAACUGGCAGUCUUGAGUACAGUAGAGGUGGGCGGAAUUCGUGGUGUAGCGGUGAAAUGCUUAGAUAUCACGAAGAACUCCGAUUGCGAAGGCAGCUCACUGGACUGCAACUGACACUGAGGCUCGAAAGUGUGGGUAUCAAACAGGAUUAGAUACCCUGGUAGUCCACGCCGUAAACGAUGAAUAUUAGGUGUCGGUGAGCAAAGCUCAUCGGUGCCGCAGCAAACGCAAUAAAUAUUCCACCUGGGGAGUACGUUCGCAAGAAUGAAACUCAAAGGAAUUGACGGGGGCCCGCACAAGCGGAGGAACAUGUGGUUUAAUUCGAUGAUACGCGAGGAACCUUACCCGGGCUUAAAUUGCACCUGAAUAAUGUGGAAACAUGUUAGCCGUAAGGCAGGUGUGAAGGUGCUGCAUGGUUGUCGUCAGCUCGUGCCGUGAGGUGUCGGCUUAAGUGCCAUAACGAGCGCAACCCUUAUCUUCAGUUACUAACAGGUCAUGCUGAGGACUCUGGAGAGACUGCCGUCGUAAGAUGUGAGGAAGGUGGGGAUGACGUCAAAUCAGCACGGCCCUUACGUCCGGGGCUACACACGUGUUACAAUGGGAGGUACAGAAGGCCGCUACCUGGCGACAGGAUGCCAAUCCCCAAAACCUCUCUCAGUUCGGAUCGAAGUCUGCAACCCGACUUCGUGAAGCUGGAUUCGCUAGUAAUCGCGCAUCAGCCAUGGCGCGGUGAAUACGUUCCCGGGCCUUGUACACACCGCCCGUCA